UGAGGAAUAUUGGGCAAUGCCCGCAAGGGUGACCCAGCAACGCCGCGUGGAGGAUGAAUGUCGUAAGAUUGUAAACUCCUGUUAGAGGGGAAGAAUAGUACCGGUUGGACCGGCACAUGACUGUACCCUCAGAGAAAGCCCCGGCUAACUACGUGCCAGCAGCCGCGGUAAUACAUAGGGGGCAAGCGUUGUCCGGAUUUACUGGGUGUAAAGGGCGCGCAGGCGGGAUAAAAAGUCAGUGGUGAAAUCCUACAGCUUAACUGUAGAACUGCCUUUGAUACUUCUAUUCUUGAGCUCGGGAGAGAGAGACGGAAUUCCAGGUGUAGUGGUGAAAUACGUAGAUAUCUGGAAGAACACCAGUUGCGAAGGCGGUCUCUUGGUCCGACACUGACGCUGAGGCGCGAAAGCGUGGGGAGCAAACA
This 422-nucleotide ribosomal RNA is filed under the name uncultured bacterium. RNAcentral describes it as "bacterial SSU rRNA". It matches the Rfam family "Bacterial small subunit ribosomal RNA", at positions 355 to 774 of the family's 1533-position model. The record is from RNAcentral.